CGCGUAGGCGGCGCGAUAAGUUGGGCGUGAAAGGCCCGGGCUCAACCCGGGGACUGCGCUUGAUACUGUCGCGCUGUGAGUCCGGGAGAGGAUGGCGGAAUUCCCAGUGUAGAGGUGAAAUUCGUAGAUAUUGGGAAGAACACCGGUGGCGAAGGCGGCCAUCUGGACCGGCACUGACGCUGAGGCGCGAAAGCGUGGGGAGCAAACAGGAUUAGAUACCCUGGUAGUCCACGCCGUAAACGAUGCGUGCUAGACGUUGGGGGGCUUGCCCUUCGGUGUCGUCGCUAACGCAUGAAGCACGCCGCCUGGGGAGUACGGUCGCAAGAUUAAA
Molecule: ribosomal RNA, 331 nt
Filed under: uncultured Rhodospirillaceae bacterium
Lineage: Bacteria; Pseudomonadati; Pseudomonadota; Alphaproteobacteria; Rhodospirillales; Rhodospirillaceae
Description: bacterial SSU rRNA
Rfam family: Bacterial small subunit ribosomal RNA
Source: RNAcentral